RNAcentral lists this ribosomal RNA (557 nucleotides) under uncultured bacterium. Its description in RNAcentral is "partial 16S ribosomal RNA". It matches the Rfam family "Bacterial small subunit ribosomal RNA", at positions 355 to 905 of the family's 1533-position model. The record is from RNAcentral.
UGGGGAAUUUUGGACAAUGGGGGCAACCCUGAUCCAGCCAUCCCGCGUGUGCGAUGAAGGCCUUCGGGUUGUAAAGCACUUUUGGCAGGGGAGAAACAGCCUGGGAUAAUACCCCGGGCGACUGACGGUACCUGCAGAAUAAGCACCGGCUAACUACGUGCCAGCAGCCGCGGUAAUACGUAGGGUGCAAGCGUUAAUCGGAAUUACUGGGCGUAAAGCGUGCGCAGGCGGUUCGGAAAGAAAGGUGUGAAAUCCCAGGGCUUAACCUUGGAACUGCACUUUUAACUACCGAGCUAGAGUACGUCAGAGGGGGGUAGAAUUCCACGUGUAGCAGUGAAAUGCGUAGAGAUGUGGAGGAAUACCGAUGGCGAAGGCAGCCCCCUGGGAUGAUACUGACGCUCAUGCACGAAAGCGUGGGGAGCAAACAGGAUUAGAUACCCUGGUAGUCCACGCCCUAAACGAUGUCAACUAGCUGUUGGGGUUUAUUAACCUUAGUAGCGCAGCUAACGCGUGAAGUUGACCGCCUGGGGAGUACGGUCGCAAGAUUAAAACUCAAA